Molecule: RNA transcript, 1719 nt
Organism: Gossypium raimondii (Peruvian cotton)
Lineage: Eukaryota; Viridiplantae; Streptophyta; Magnoliopsida; Malvales; Malvaceae
Exons: 3
Source: RefSeq, a predicted model, not a curated record
UUAUAUCAAGGUAAUAUCUAAAACAUAAAAUAUUUAUAAAAUCAAGUAAUGAUUACACGGAAGAAUAUUAAAAUACAAAGAUGAAUUAAUGGGGAUUAAAUUAGAAAUUAAACAGAAUUAAAGGGAAAAUAUCAAAAGUAGAAUAACAUGGCGGGUGAAAGCGUGACGUGCGGAUAACAUGGGGACCAAAUGGGAAAUAUUUCCCGUACCCCAAAACGCAACGUCUUAGCGCGGACCAAAUCGGAAUGAACUCAAAAAAGCAUGGCCAAAUUUAGAUGUAAUAUAGAGGUUUAUUGGAAGCCAAUACAAAAAAGAAGGACUAAGAGCGUAAAAAUCCCAUCAGACCCAAAACGGGCGGAUCCUGCCCUUGGGUCGGGUCACCGCGCGGGUCGAGGGCAAUCAGACGACAUUGUUUUGAAGCUAUCGCAUUAGCUACAAACGGCAACGUUUCAGAUCCUGCGAUUGAAACUAAAAUAAAAUCUUAAAAAACUUAACAUUUAUUUUGUUUUAAAACCUAAACUCUCUCUCUCGACGCCGCUCAACGGUUCAUCGUCUCUCUCAGAGACUCUUCGAACCAUGCCCCUAACUCCGAUGACAACGGAGAAAGAGCAACAGGUCCAGUCGAGAGGUACGGUGUACAGAGGUGUGGUCGUGGCUCGUACGGAGGCGAAGGUGCGCGCGUACAAAGGCUCGUCACGUGUGGAGGGAGAGCGAAUAGACGCUACUGCUGCGGCGCUGGGAACCCUUGUCGCUAGGGUUUCUGACUUCUGGUUUAGGCCAGUUGGGUUAGGGUAUUGGGCUAGGGGUAAUUGGCUUAGUGGGUUAUAUUUAGUUUGGGCCAUAUUAAGCCCAGUGUAAAUGGACAUUAAAAAUGGACUGUUUUUUUGGUUUAUUUUUGUUUAUUUAUUUUUGAUUUGGGGCCGGGCAAAUUUGGGCCACUACAGCUCAUUGUCCCUUCACUGACAAUUUGGGCAGCAAUUCUUUCAUUUGUAUGACAGUGCGUUAUAAGCAUUUUGUUGGUAGCGAGGUAACAUUAAUAUCUAUUUGUAGGACUUUUAUGUUCUAUUUUGUAACUUGUUGAAAGCAUAAAACAGGGGUAUAGAUGCACCUCAGAUGCUGAGGCUGUUCGGAAAAGAAGCAAAACAAGAGUUGGUUAAGCUUGUUCAUGGGAAAUGUUUGAAAGUGCUUGUCUACGGGGAAUAUCAAUACAGUUGUUGCGUUGCAGACGUAUACUACAAUGGCAUUUUUGUGCAGGAAGUACUACUAAAGAACGAACUUGCAUGGCAUUACGUAGCCUACGAUCAACGGGUUGAACUCGCAACCGUAAGUAAAUGACAAUCCUAUAUGUUCUUGCUCAUCGUUGAGUUAAAACUCGUGACUAUCGUCUUUGUACAUAUUAAUAUCCUUGGCAAAAAGAGGCUUGGGCAAAGAGAAUUGGCCUCUGGGUACAAUCAAACCUGAAGAAUCCAUGGGAAAGGAGGAAGAAGAACACACAAGAAAGUAGAUAUCACUGUCCUUAAGGAUCCAUAACAUCUUGAGAAGUGAUAAAAGAAUCAUAUUUGUGUAAAGAGCCAUGUUUGAUCCAUUCCUAUAUCUCUUGUAUGUAUGCAUUGCUUAUUAUUAUCAAAUGAUUGUCAAACAUAUAUAUGAUGUGUGCGUGUAUAUAUAUGCACAUUGCUUUUGAAACAUAGAUCUGCUCCUGAAAUUGAUCUCUAAGGG